Molecule: transfer RNA, 67 nt
Filed under: Namazonurus peersi
Lineage: Eukaryota; Metazoa; Chordata; Lepidosauria; Squamata; Cordylidae
Description: tRNA-Val
Rfam family: tRNA
About the family: Transfer RNA (tRNA) molecules are approximately 80 nucleotides in length.
Source: RNAcentral
CAAAGAGUAGCUUAAAAUAAAGCACUCAACUUACAAUUGAGAGAUGUUACUUACACAACCUCUUUGC